This 136-nucleotide microRNA precursor is filed under the name Hordeum vulgare. RNAcentral describes it as "microRNA MIR1122". It matches the Rfam family "MIR1120/MIR1122 microRNA precursor family". The record is from RNAcentral. Lineage: Eukaryota; Viridiplantae; Streptophyta; Magnoliopsida; Poales; Poaceae.
UUGUUACUUCCUUCAUCCAAAAAUUCUUAUCUUAAAUUUAUAUAGAUAUUAAUGUAUCUAGUUACGUUUUAUUAUUUAGAUACAACUAUUUUUAGAUAAAUCUAGGACAAGCAUUUUGGGACGGAGGGAGUAUUAC